CAGCAGCCACGGUAAUACGAAGGGGGCUAGCGUUGCUCGGAAUCACUGGGCGUAAAGGGUGCGUAGGCGGGUCUUUAAGUCAGGGGUGAAAUCCUGGAGCUCAACUCCAGAACUGCCUUUGAUACUGAAGAUCUUGAGUUCGGGAGAGGUGAGUGGAACUGCGAGUGUAGAGGUGAAAUUCGUAGAUAUUCGCAAGAACACCAGUGGCGAAGGCGGCUCACUGGCCCGAUACUGACGCUGAGGCACGAAAGCGUGGGGAGCGAACAGGAUUAGAUACCCCGGUAGUCCCUGUCUCUUAUAC
Molecule: ribosomal RNA, 301 nt
Filed under: uncultured bacterium
Lineage: Bacteria
Description: partial 16S ribosomal RNA
Rfam family: Bacterial small subunit ribosomal RNA
Source: RNAcentral